ACUAAAUAGAUACCCGGGUAGUCCACGCCCUAAACGAUGUCUACUAGUUGUUGGUGGAGUAAAAUCCAUGAGUAAACGCAGCUAAACGCGUGAAGUAGACCGCCUGGGGAGUACGGUCGCAAGAUUAAAACUCAAAGGAAUUGACGGGGGCCGCACAAGCGGUGGAUUAUGUGGAUUAAUUCGAUGCAACGCGAAAAACCUUAACCUGGCCUUGACAUGCCACUAACGAAGCAGAGAUGCAUUAGGUGCCCGUAAGGGAAAGUGGACACAGGUGCUGCAUGGCUGUCGUCAGCUCGUGUCGUGAGAUGUUGGGUUAAGUCCCGCAACGAGCGCAACCCUUGCCACUU
This 347-nucleotide ribosomal RNA is filed under the name uncultured bacterium. RNAcentral's name for it is "bacterial SSU rRNA". It matches the Rfam family "Bacterial small subunit ribosomal RNA", at positions 772 to 1113 of the family's 1533-position model. The record is from RNAcentral.